GCACCUGAACCUUUCCUAUUCCUUGCUGUGCAGUGCAGGUCUGGGGACAGUUGGUGCUACAGCACAGCAGUGGAAAUCCAGAUAUGGGUGGUUUUCCACUGGUUUGGAACCAAUCUCUACACUUCUACAACAUUU
Molecule: small nucleolar RNA, 135 nt
Organism: Falco peregrinus (peregrine falcon)
Lineage: Eukaryota; Metazoa; Chordata; Aves; Falconiformes; Falconidae
Product: small nucleolar RNA SNORA55
Exons: 1
Source: RefSeq, a predicted model, not a curated record